AAAAAAGCUACUAAGGGCAUAUGGUGAAUAUCUUGGCAGUAAGAGGCGAUGAAGGACGUAGUUAAUCUGCGAUAAGCUUCGGUUAGUCGAUAAUCAGACUUUGAUCCGGAGAUUUCCGAAUGGGGCAACCCAGCUACGUGAAGGCGUAGUUACCCACGACUGAGUAAAGUAGGUCGUGUGGAGCGAACCGAGGGAACUGAAACAUCUAAGUACCUCGAGGAAAAGAAAUCAAUUGAGAUUCUGCAAGUAGCGGCGAGCGAACGCAGAAUAGCCCAAACCAUAUAGCGUGCUAUGUGGGGUUGUAGGACUUGCAUCAAGGUGAGAACGAUAGAAGAAGUGUCUGGGAAGGCACACCAAAGAGAGUGAAAGUCUCGUAAUCGAAAUUGUUUAAGCUGGGCGAGUAUCCUGAGUAGGACGGGACACGAGAAAUCCUGUUUGAAUCUGGGAAGACCACUUUCCAAGGCUAAAUACUACUUACUGACCGAUAGUGUACUAGUACCGUGAGGGAAAGAUGAAAAGAACCCCGAUAAGGGGAGUGAAAUAGAAUUUGAAACCGUAUGCUUACAAACAGUUAGAGGGCUAUUGUAUAAGCCUGAUAGCGUACCUUUUGCAUUAUGACUCAGCGAGUUAUGGUGUGUGGCAAGAUUAAGCCGUUGCAGGUGUAGUCGUAGGGAAACCAAGUCUUAAUAGGGCGAACUAAGUCGCAUGCUGUAGACCCGAAACGGAGUGAGCUAUCCAUGAGCAGGUUGAAGCUGGGGUAAGACCUAGUGGAGGACCGAACGCUCGAAAGUUGAAAAUUUCUGCGAUGACUUGUGGAUAGGGGUGAAAGGCCAAUCAAACUCCGUGAUAGCUGGUUCUCCUCGAAAUGCAUUUAGGUGCAGCGUUAGAUGUUUACCACCGGGGGUAUAGCACUGAAUUGGCUAGGGGGCUUACCAGCUUACCAAACCAUAUCAAACUCAGAAUACCGGUGAGUAUAGUCUAGCAGUGAGACUAUGGAUGCUAAGGUCCAUAGUCGAAAGGGAAAGAGCCCAGACCAACAGCUAAGGUCCCAAAAUGAUAACUAAGUGGUAAAGGUUGUGGAACUACUUUGACAUCCAGGAGGUUGGCUUAGAAGCAGCCAUCCUUUAAAGAAAGCGUAAUAGCUCACUGGACUAGUGGUUCUGCGCCGAAAAUGUAACGGGGCUAAAGUUAUCUACCGAAGCUUUGGACUAAUUUAUUAGUGGUAGAGGAGCAUUGUGUUUGCCGACGAAGGUAUACCGUAAGGAAUAUUGGAGGUUUCACAAGCGAUGAUGCUGAGAUGAGUAGCGAUUAGGGUGGCGAGAAUCCACCCCGCCGAAAACCUAAGGGUUCCUGGGCCAGGUGACUCCGCCCAGGGUAAGUCGGAGCCUAAGGCGAGGCCGAAAGGCGUAGUCGAUGGAUAACAGGUUAAUAUUCCUGUACUUAGUAUAUAACGUUUGACUGAAGGAGUGACGGAGAAAGGUAGCGCAUCCGGGUGUUGGAUAUCCCGGUUUAAGCAAGUAGGUGGGACUGGUAGGCAAAUCCGCCGGUCUAUUUAAACAUCGAGACGUGAUGACGAGAGCGAAAGCUCAUAAAGUGUGUGAUCCUCUGCUUCCAAGAAAAGCUUCGUAGGGAGUUGUAUAUUAAUCCGUACCGUAAACCGACACAGGUAGGUGAGGAGAGAAUCCUCAGGCGUUUGGACGAACUCUAGUUAAGGAACUCUGCAAAAUUGUGCCGUAACUUCGGGAGAAGGCACGCCACCGACGGUGAAUUCACUUGCUGAUGUAGCGGUUGGUGGCCGCAGUGAAAAGGGGGUAGCGACUGUUUAUCAAAAACAUAGGUCUAUGCAAACUCGUAAGAGGAAGUAUAUGGACUGACGCCUGCCCGGUGCUGGAAGGUUAAAAGGUGAGGUUAGCGCAAGCGAAGCUUUGAAUUGAAGCCCCAGUAAACGGCGGCCGUAACUAUAACGGUCCUAAGGUAGCGAAAUUCCUAGUCGGGUAAGUUCCGACCUGCACGAAUGGCGUAACGACUUCCCCGCUGUCUCAACUAGAGGUCCAGUGAAAUUGGUGUGCGCGUGAAGAAACGCGCUACCCGCGGUAGGACGAAAAGACCCCGUGAACCUUUACUGUAGCUUGGCAUUGGGUUUCGGUCAGCAUUGCGUAGGAUAGGUGGGAGCCGUUGAGGCGUACGUUCUGGCGUACGAUUAGGCGACGUUGAAAUACCACCCUAUGCUGUCUGGAAUCCUAACCUAGCAUCCUAAUCGGGUGUGGGGACAAUGUCUGGUAGGCAGUUUGACUGGGGCGGUCGCCUCCUAAAGAGUAACGGAGGCGCACGAAGGUUCCCUCAGCCUGAAUGGAAACCAGGCGUAGAGUGUAAACGCAUAAGGGAGCUUGACUGCGAGACUUACAAGUCGCGCAGGUGCGAAAGCAGGUGUUAGUGAUCCGGUGGUUCCGAGUGGAAGGGCCAUCGCUUAACGGAUAAAAGGUACUCCGGGGAUAACAGGCUGAUCUCCUCCAAGAGUUCACAUCGACGAGGAGGUUUGGCACCUCGAUGUCGGCUCAUCGCAUCCUGGGGCUGGAGCAGGUCCCAAGGGUUUGACUGUUCGUCAAUUAAAGCGGUACGCGAGCUGGGUUCAGAACGUCGUGAGACAGUUCGGUCUCUAUCCACCGUGGGCGUAAGAAAUUUGAGAGGAGCUGACCUUAGUACGAGAGGACCGGGUUGGACAAACCUCUGGUGUAUCGGUUGUGGCGCCAGCUGCAUCGCCGGGUAGCUAAGUUUGGACGGGAUAACCACUGAAAGCAUCUAAGUGGGAAGCCCCCCUCAAGAUAAGAUUUCUAUUAGGGAGCUUGUAGACUACGAGCUUGAUAGGUUGGGUGUGUAAGCGCUGUGAGGCGUUGAGCUGACCAAUACUAAAUCCCCAUUUUGCUUUUUUUA
Molecule: ribosomal RNA, 2931 nt
Filed under: Bacteriovoracaceae bacterium
Lineage: Bacteria; Pseudomonadati; Bdellovibrionota; Bacteriovoracia; Bacteriovoracales; Bacteriovoracaceae
Description: 23S ribosomal RNA
Rfam family: Bacterial large subunit ribosomal RNA
Source: RNAcentral